This 141-nucleotide unclassified non-coding RNA is filed under the name uncultured Rhizopycnis. Its description in RNAcentral is "sequence contains ITS1". The record is from RNAcentral. Lineage: Eukaryota; Fungi; Ascomycota.
ACGAUUUCGGUGUAAAAAACCGUUUUCUACCUAUGUCUACGCGUACCACUUGUUUCCUCGGGGGGGCUUGCCCCCCCGCUAGGACCCUUUAUCAAACCUUUUUGUAAUAGCAGUCAGCGUCUGAUACUAAGUUAAUUAUUA